RNAcentral lists this ribosomal RNA (809 nucleotides) under uncultured archaeon. RNAcentral describes it as "bacterial SSU rRNA". It matches the Rfam family "Archaeal small subunit ribosomal RNA", at positions 85 to 879 of the family's 1478-position model. The record is from RNAcentral. RNAcentral also lists the same sequence under 1 other name.
ACUGCUCAGUAACACGUGGCUAAUCUGCCCUUAGGACGAGAACAACCCCGGGAAACUGGGGCUAACUCUCGAUAGGCGAAGAACUCUGGAAUGAGUCUUUACCUAAAUAGUGCAACGUUAUCCUCGUUGCAUCGCCUAAGGAUGAGGCCGCGACCGAUCAGGUUGUUGGCGAGGUAAUGGCUCACCAAGCCUUUUACCGGUGCGGGCCGUGAGAGCGGGAGCCCGGAGAUGGGCACUGAGACAAGGGCCCAGGCCCUACGGGGCGCAGCAGUCGCGAAAACUUUGCAAUAAGCGAAAGCUUGACAGGGCUAUCCCGAGUGCCAUCCGCUGAGGAAGGCUUUUACCCAGUCUAGAACGCUGGGGGAAUAAGGAGAGGGCAAGUCUGGUGUCAGCCGCCGCGGUAAUACCAGCUCUCCGAGUGGUGUGGAUGUUUAUUGGGCCUAAAGCAUCCGUAGCUGGCUAGGUCAGUCCCUUGUUAAAUCCACCGAAUUAAUCGUUGGAUUGCGGGGGAUACUGCUUGGCUAGGGGACGAGAGAGGCAGACGGUAUUUUCGGGGUAGGGGUGAAAUCCUAUAAUCCCGGGAAGACCACCAGUGGCGAAGGCUGUCUGCUAGAACGCGCCCGACGGUGAGGGAUGAAAGCUGGGGGAGCGAACCGGAUUAGAUACCCGGGUAGUCCCAGCUGUAAACGAUGCAGACUAGGUGUUUGGACGGCCACGUGCCGUUCUAGUGCCGCAGGGAAGCUGUUAAGUCUGCCGCCUGGGGAGUACGAUCGCAAGAUUGAAACUUAAAGGAAUUGGCGGGGGAGCAC